GUGAGGAAUAUUGGUCAAUGGACGGAAGUCUGAACCAGCCAUGCCGCGUGCAGGAAUAAGGUCCUAUGGAUUGUAAACUGCUUUUAUUCGGGAAUAAACCUCUUUACGUGUAGGGAGCUGAAGGUACCGAAGGAAUAAGCACCGGCUAACUCCGUGCCAGCAGCCGCGGUAAUACGGAGGGUGCAAGCGUUAUCCGGAAUCAUUGGGCUUAAAGGGUACGCAGGCGGGCUAUCCAGUCAGAGGUGAAAUCCCACAGCUUAACUGUGGAACUGCCUUUGAAACUGAUUGUCUUGAAUUAAGUGGGCGUUGGCGGAAUAUGACAUGUAGCGGUGAAAUGCAUAGAUAUGUCAUGGAACACCGAAAGCGAAGGCAGCUAACGAUACUUAUAUUGACGCUCAUGGAAGAAAGCGUGGGUAGCGAACAGGAUUAGAAACCCCUGUAGUCC
RNAcentral lists this ribosomal RNA (445 nucleotides) under uncultured bacterium. Its description in RNAcentral is "partial 16S ribosomal RNA". It matches the Rfam family "Bacterial small subunit ribosomal RNA", at positions 354 to 796 of the family's 1533-position model. The record is from RNAcentral.